RNAcentral lists this ribosomal RNA (735 nucleotides) under Pseudomonas sp. 110623_PC_C1_C3. Its description in RNAcentral is "bacterial SSU rRNA". It matches the Rfam family "Bacterial small subunit ribosomal RNA", at positions 20 to 750 of the family's 1533-position model. Lineage: Bacteria; Pseudomonadati; Pseudomonadota; Gammaproteobacteria; Pseudomonadales; Pseudomonadaceae. The record is from RNAcentral. RNAcentral also lists the same sequence under 1 other name.
UGGCUCAGAUUGAACGCUGGCGGCAGGCCUAACACAUGCAAGUCGAGCGGUAGAGAGAAGCUUGCUUCUCUUGAGAGCGGCGGACGGGUGAGUAAUGCCUAGGAAUCUGCCUGGUAGUGGGGGAUAACGUUCGGAAACGAACGCUAAUACCGCAUACGUCCUACGGGAGAAAGCAGGGGACCUUCGGGCCUUGCGCUAUCAGAUGAGCCUAGGUCGGAUUAGCUAGUUGGUGAGGUAAUGGCUCACCAAGGCGACGAUCCGUAACUGGUCUGAGAGGAUGAUCAGUCACACUGGAACUGAGACACGGUCCAGACUCCUACGGGAGGCAGCAGUGGGGAAUAUUGGACAAUGGGCGAAAGCCUGAUCCAGCCAUGCCGCGUGUGUGAAGAAGGUCUUCGGAUUGUAAAGCACUUUAAGUUGGGAGGAAGGGCAGUUACCUAAUACGUGAUUGUUUUGACGUUACCGACAGAAUAAGCACCGGCUAACUCUGUGCCAGCAGCCGCGGUAAUACAGAGGGUGCAAGCGUUAAUCGGAAUUACUGGGCGUAAAGCGCGCGUAGGUGGUUUGUUAAGUUGGAUGUGAAAUCCCCGGGCUCAACCUGGGAACUGCAUUCAAAACUGACUGACUAGAGUAUGGUAGAGGGUGGUGGAAUUUCCUGUGUAGCGGUGAAAUGCGUAGAUAUAGGAAGGAACACCAGUGGCGAAGGCGACCACCUGGACUAAUACUGACACUGAG